This 2903-nucleotide ribosomal RNA is filed under the name Escherichia coli KTE12. Its description in RNAcentral is "bacterial LSU rRNA". It matches the Rfam family "Bacterial large subunit ribosomal RNA". Lineage: Bacteria; Pseudomonadati; Pseudomonadota; Gammaproteobacteria; Enterobacterales; Enterobacteriaceae. The record is from RNAcentral.
UUAAGCGACUAAGCGUACACGGUGGAUGCCCUGGCAGUCAGAGGCGAUGAAGGACGUGCUAAUCUGCGAUAAGCGUCGGUAAGGUGAUAUGAACCGUUAUAACCGGCGAUUUCCGAAUGGGGAAACCCAGUGUGAUUCGUCACACUAUCAUUAACUGAAUCCAUAGGUUAAUGAGGCGAACCGGGGGAACUGAAACAUCUAAGUACCCCGAGGAAAAGAAAUCAACCGAGAUUCCCCCAGUAGCGGCGAGCGAACGGGGAGCAGCCCAGAGCCUGAAUCAGUGUGUGUGUUAGUGGAAGCGUCUGGAAAGGCGUGCGAUACAGGGUGACAGCCCCGUACACAAAAAUGCACAUACUGUGAGCUCGAUGAGUAGGGCGGGACACGUGGUAUCCUGUCUGAAUAUGGGGGGACCAUCCUCCAAGGCUAAAUACUCCUGACUGACCGAUAGUGAACCAGUACCGUGAGGGAAAGGCGAAAAGAACCCCGGCGAGGGGAGUGAAAAAGAACCUGAAACCGUGUACGUACAAGCAGUGGGAGCACAGAGCAAUCUGUGUGACUGCGUACCUUUUGUAUAAUGGGUCAGCGACUUAUAUUCUGUAGCAAGGUUAACCGAAUAGGGGAGCCGAAGGGAAACCGAGUCUUAACUGGGCGUUAAGUUGCAGGGUAUAGACCCGAAACCCGGUGAUCUAGCCAUGGGCAGGUUGAAGGUUGGGUAACACUAACUGGAGGACCGAACCGACUAAUGUUGAAAAAUUAGCGGAUGACUUGUGGCUGGGGGUGAAAGGCCAAUCAAACCGGGAGAUAGCUGGUUCUCCCCGAAAGCUAUUUAGGUAGCGCCUCGUGAAUUCAUCUCCGGGGGUAGAGCACUGUUUCGGCAAGGGGGUCAUCCCGACUUACCAACCCGAUGCAAACUGCGAAUACCGGAGAAUGUUAUCACGGGAGACACACGGCGGGUGCUAACGUCCGUCGUGAAGAGGGAAACAACCCAGACCGCCAGCUAAGGUCCCAAAGUCAUGGUUAAGUGGGAAACGAUGUGGGAAGGCCCAGACAGCCAGGAUGUUGGCUUAGAAGCAGCCAUCAUUUAAAGAAAGCGUAAUAGCUCACUGGUCGAGUCGGCCUGCGCGGAAGAUGUAACGGGGCUAAACCAUGCACCGAAGCUGCGGCAGCGACACUAUGUGUUGUUGGGUAGGGGAGCGUUCUGUAAGCCUGUGAAGGUGUACUGUGAGGUAUGCUGGAGGUAUCAGAAGUGCGAAUGCUGACAUAAGUAACGAUAAAGCGGGUGAAAAGCCCGCUCGCCGGAAGACCAAGGGUUCCUGUCCAACGUUAAUCGGGGCAGGGUGAGUCGACCCCUAAGGCGAGGCCGAAAGGCGUAGUCGAUGGGAAACAGGUUAAUAUUCCUGUACUUGGUGUUACUGCGAAGGGGGGACGGAGAAGGCUAUGUUGGCCGGGCGACGGUUGUCCCGGUUUAAGCGUGUAGGCUGGUUUUCCAGGCAAAUCCGGAAAAUCAAGGCUGAGGCGUGAUGACGAGGCACUACGGUGCUGAAGCAACAAAUGCCCUGCUUCCAGGAAAAGCCUCUAAGCAUCAGGUAACAUCAAAUCGUACCCCAAACCGACACAGGUGGUCAGGUAGAGAAUACCAAGGCGCUUGAGAGAACUCGGGUGAAGGAACUAGGCAAAAUGGUGCCGUAACUUCGGGAGAAGGCACGCUGAUAUGUAGGUGAAGCGACUUGCUCGUGGAGCUGAAAUCAGUCGAAGAUACCAGCUGGCUGCAACUGUUUAUUAAAAACACAGCACUGUGCAAACACGAAAGUGGACGUAUACGGUGUGACGCCUGCCCGGUGCCGGAAGGUUAAUUGAUGGGGUCAGCGCAAGCGAAGCUCUUGAUCGAAGCCCCGGUAAACGGCGGCCGUAACUAUAACGGUCCUAAGGUAGCGAAAUUCCUUGUCGGGUAAGUUCCGACCUGCACGAAUGGCGUAAUGAUGGCCAGGCUGUCUCCACCCGAGACUCAGUGAAAUUGAACUCGCUGUGAAGAUGCAGUGUACCCGCGGCAAGACGGAAAGACCCCGUGAACCUUUACUAUAGCUUGACACUGAACAUUGAGCCUUGAUGUGUAGGAUAGGUGGGAGGCUUUGAAGUGUGGACGCCAGUCUGCAUGGAGCCGACCUUGAAAUACCACCCUUUAAUGUUUGAUGUUCUAACGUUGACCCGUAAUCCGGGUUGCGGACAGUGUCUGGUGGGUAGUUUGACUGGGGCGGUCUCCUCCUAAAGAGUAACGGAGGAGCACGAAGGUUGGCUAAUCCUGGUCGGACAUCAGGAGGUUAGUGCAAUGGCAUAAGCCAGCUUGACUGCGAGCGUGACGGCGCGAGCAGGUGCGAAAGCAGGUCAUAGUGAUCCGGUGGUUCUGAAUGGAAGGGCCAUCGCUCAACGGAUAAAAGGUACUCCGGGGAUAACAGGCUGAUACCGCCCAAGAGUUCAUAUCGACGGCGGUGUUUGGCACCUCGAUGUCGGCUCAUCACAUCCUGGGGCUGAAGUAGGUCCCAAGGGUAUGGCUGUUCGCCAUUUAAAGUGGUACGCGAGCUGGGUUUAGAACGUCGUGAGACAGUUCGGUCCCUAUCUGCCGUGGGCGCUGGAGAACUGAGGGGGGCUGCUCCUAGUACGAGAGGACCGGAGUGGACGCAUCACUGGUGUUCGGGUUGUCAUGCCAAUGGCACUGCCCGGUAGCUAAAUGCGGAAGAGAUAAGUGCUGAAAGCAUCUAAGCACGAAACUUGCCCCGAGAUGAGUUCUCCCUGACUCCUUGAGAGUCCUGAAGGAACGUUGAAGACGACGACGUUGAUAGGCCGGGUGUGUAAGCGCAGCGAUGCGUUGAGCUAACCGGUACUAAUGAACCGUGAGGCUUAACCUU